CCUGAACUCCUGGUUUCAAGCAGUCUUUCCACCUGGCCUCCCAAAGUGCUAGGAUGACAGGUAUGAGCCACUGCCCGUGGCCCACUCAGCCAUCGUACUCCAAUGGACAACUUUCAUGUCACCAGCUGGGUCCUAUGCACUGAAGAUACCUAGGAGCCAGAAAUAACAGUGAUGAGGGGCUCAGAGGGGCACCCCCAACACUUAAUUAAGCCUCGAUCUUCAGGCAAGAAAGUCUGUGAUAUGAAUGAAGGGGGUACAGAAGCCCAACAACAAUCAUCGAAUGAGCUUGGAAGUGGAUCCUCUCACUCCAGUCAAGCCUUCUGAUGACUGCAGCCCUGGCUGAUGCUUGACUACAGCUUCAUUAGAAAUCCUCAUGAAGAUCCAGCACCUUCCAGUUAGCCCAUCUGUGGGUUCUUGACCUUCAGAAAUUCUAUGAAAUAAUAAAUAUUUGUUAUUUUAAGUUGCUAAACUUUGUGGAAAUGUG
This is a long non-coding RNA of Cercocebus atys (sooty mangabey), 484 nucleotides long. RefSeq lists it as uncharacterized. The transcript has 4 exons. The record is from RefSeq and is a predicted model, not a curated record. Lineage: Eukaryota; Metazoa; Chordata; Mammalia; Primates; Cercopithecidae.